UACGUAGGGUGCGAGCGUUGUCCGGAAUUACUGGGCGUAAAGAGCUCGUAGGUGGUUUGUCGCGUUGUUCGUGAAAACUCAGGGCUUAACCCUGGGCGUGCGGGCGAUACGGGCAGACUGGAGUACUGCAGGGGAGACUGGAAUUCCUGGUGUAGCGGUGGAAUGCGCAGAUAUCAGGAGGAACACCGGUGGCGAAGGCGGGUCUCUGGGCAGUAACUGACGCUGAGGAGCGAAAGCGUGGGGAGCGAACAGG
Molecule: ribosomal RNA, 253 nt
Filed under: uncultured bacterium
Lineage: Bacteria
Description: partial 16S ribosomal RNA
Rfam family: Bacterial small subunit ribosomal RNA
Source: RNAcentral